UGUGCAAAAAAAAAAGGAAAUCGAACUGUAAAGCAAUUAAACGUGUGUGUGCGCUAGUGUGCGUGUGCGAGUGCGUGUUUUGUUGAGUUGAGGCAGCAGUCACUCAGUUUGGCCACUGACUCGCUCGCUCGCUGUGAUAAGUUCACCACACACACAACAGCAACAACAACAGCAAAAGCAGCAGAAGCACAAGAGCAACAACAAAUAUCCCAUGAGCGCAGAGCCAACAACAAUGCGCAUCGUAAAUGCUAACUGUUAACUGCCAAAGCGCAGAGCACAAAAUGUUGGCAGCCCUCUGCUAUACACACACAUGCAUAAGCACUAACAUACGCACACACUUAAGUGUCGUCUACUGACAAAUUGCUUUGGCUUGUGUGUAAAAAAGGACUACAACAAGUUGCAGCUGGACAGUGGGCAGAGAGUGCAUCAAGUUGAAUGUGCGUGUGGCCUGUAACCUCUGCCUCUGCUCGCUACCAGCUGUCAGCUGCCUAUGCUUCCAUUGUCCUCUUGGCAACCCAGUAUUUACUCAAAAUAUCCCAGUAUUUUUUGUUGUGUGUGUGUGUGUGCUGCUUGCAGUCAGUGCAACAUAAUUAUAGCUCUCCGCUUUUGGCCAAGCAGAUGGCCACCGAAGCUCGAGAGGUUCGAUUCGCGUGAAAUUAGACAAAUGUUUAGCUUAAUUAUCAACACAUGUGUACAUCGAGAACCAAAUGAAAAUAUAAUCAUAAUAAUCAAUAAUUAUAUCUACCCUUACAGUUCAAACAUUUACAAUUCAAGUGCAUUAAAAAUACAAAUAGCUAAACCAGAGCAUCUUUUGUGAAUAACUUAAAUCAUUUUACUGUAUAUACGCUUCGCUUUUCUAUUAAACCAAAUGCAAAUUGUGCUAAAUAAUGAAAGUCUCUACAUCUUCUAAUGCAACAACUACUAUGAAAUCUAUUUAAUUUUCUAUUGCAAACUAACAAAAUAAAAAAAUUUCAAUAAAAAACAAACAAAAUUCAAAUUGAAACAACGAAUGAACAAACAACGCCGUUUACAACCAACAAAAACUACAACUAAAUAAUAAUAAUACUAAUGACGAAUACAUUGCUGACCACGGAUUUUGCACUGCAUAAUUAUCAAGCGCUCAUCUCAAGACUCGCUUACCAAAGAUGGCAUCGCUCCACAGAACUCAACAACAAAUCAAACAUGAACAACAUCAACAGCAACAACCAUUCGAGCAACAACUACAAAGGCAACAGUCAGCAUUUCUAAUAAUAACAACAACAAAAACAACAACGGCAGCAGCAACAUCAAGAGAAGCCGGACAUCAUUGCUGAUCGCUAGCGAAAUGAAACAAAAACAGAAUCGAGGCGAAUUUCAAAUGUUUAAUACAAAUUUUGCUUUUAAUAUGAAAGCGACCUAAAACUACGAAAAUAGGGAAAGAGGAACUGACCUUGAAGGGUCAAGUGCAGCACACACCCAUACACGCACACACGCACACACACACACACACACACACAUUUACACAAACACACUAAGAAGCACAAAUACACCCACACAUACGGACACAUAUGCACACUGUUACUCCACCCACGCAUUCAUACGGAACACAGUGAAAGGGUAACUGCAAAAACUGAUCUGCGUCAUUGUAAAACGUUUCAACGAAUUUCCAAAAAGUCUACA
Long non-coding RNA from Drosophila mojavensis, 1659 nucleotides. RefSeq lists it as uncharacterized. The record is from RefSeq and is a predicted model, not a curated record. The transcript has 2 exons. Lineage: Eukaryota; Metazoa; Arthropoda; Insecta; Diptera; Drosophilidae.